This 472-nucleotide ribosomal RNA is filed under the name uncultured bacterium. RNAcentral's name for it is "partial 16S ribosomal RNA". It matches the Rfam family "Bacterial small subunit ribosomal RNA", at positions 28 to 507 of the family's 1533-position model. The record is from RNAcentral.
GACGAACGCUGGCGGCGUGCUUAACACAUGCAAGUCGAACGCUGAAGCUUGGUGCUUGCACUGGGUGGCUGAGUGGCGAACGGGUGAGUAAUACGUGAGUAACCUGCCCUUGACUCUGGGAUAAUCCUGGGAAACUGGGUCUAAUACUGGAUAUGACAUGCCACUGCAUGGUGGUGUGUGGAAAUUGUUUUACUGGUUUUGGAUGGGCUCACGGCCUAUCAGCUUGUUGGUGGGGUAAUGGCCUACCAAGGCGACGACGGGUAGCCGGCCUGAGAGGGUGACCGGCCACACUGGGACUGAGACACGGCCCAGACUCCUACGGGAGGCAGCAGUGGGGAAUAUUGCACAAUGGGCGGAAGCCUGAUGCAGCGACGCCGCGUGAGGGAUGACGGCCUUCGGGUUGUAAACCUCUUUCAGAACGGAAGAAGCGAGAGUGACGGUACGUGAAGAAGAAGCGCCGGCUAACUACGUG